Molecule: ribosomal RNA, 195 nt
Filed under: Triticum aestivum (bread wheat)
Lineage: Eukaryota; Viridiplantae; Streptophyta; Magnoliopsida; Poales; Poaceae
Description: partial small subunit ribosomal RNA
Source: RNAcentral
AUGAGGAGCUCAGUGGAGGUAAAUGCAAGGUUGCCUGGAAGAAUGUUUGCACCCCGACGGAGAACGGUGGCCUCGGCAUUCUUGAUUUGCAGAGAUUCUCUAGUGCCUUGCGCCAGUGAUGGUUGUGGCUAUCAUGGCAAAGUGAGGAAAGGCCAUGGAAGGGCUCUGAACUUCCAUGUGACAAAACUGACAUAG